UACGUAGGGUGCGAGCGUUGUCCGGAAUUAUUGGGCGUAAAGGGCUCGUAGGCGGUCUGUUGCGUCAGGAGUGAAAACUCGGGGCUUAACCCCGAGCCUGCUUCUGAUACGGGCAGACUAGAGGUAUGCAGGGGAGAGCGGAAUUCCUGGUGUAGCGGUGAAAUGCGCAGAUAUCAGGAGGAACACCGGUGGCGAAGGCGGGUCUCUGGGCCUUAACUGACGCUGAGGAGCGAAAGCGUGGGGAGCGAACAGG
This 253-nucleotide ribosomal RNA is filed under the name uncultured bacterium. RNAcentral's name for it is "partial 16S ribosomal RNA". It matches the Rfam family "Bacterial small subunit ribosomal RNA", at positions 524 to 776 of the family's 1533-position model. The record is from RNAcentral.